CCCUUAGAUGUUCUGGGCCGCACGCGCGCUACACUGAUGCGUUCAACAAGUUUCCUUGGCCGAGAGGCCUGGGCAAUCUUCUUAAUAUGUAUCGUGAUAGGGAUAGAGUAUUGCAAUUAUUAAUCUUGAACGAGGAAUUCCUAGUAAACGCAGAUCAUCAAUCUGCAUUGAUUACGUCCCUGCCCUUUGUACACACCGCCCGUCGCACCUACCGAUUGGAUGUUCCGGUGAAGCCUCGGGAUGAGGACUGGUGCCUUUAUUGGCAUGAGUUGUUCAGAACUUGUCUAAACCUUAUCAUCUAGAGGAAGGUGAAGUCGUAACA
RNAcentral lists this ribosomal RNA (322 nucleotides) under uncultured eukaryote. RNAcentral's name for it is "partial 18S ribosomal RNA". It matches the Rfam family "Eukaryotic small subunit ribosomal RNA", at positions 1470 to 1796 of the family's 1831-position model. The record is from RNAcentral.